GGGACGGGGCGGCCGCGGCGCCGAGACCCGGGGGCAGUCCGGGGGCAGUCCGGGGGCAGUCCGGGGGCAGUCCGGGGGCAGUGCGGGGGCAGUGCGGGGUCUGCCACCGCAUGCUGGCCCUGCCAUCGCAUCCCGACCAUCCCGGCCCUGCCAUCGCAUCCCGGCCCUGCCAUCCCGGAAAGCUGCCGUGGGGCCCGGCUGCGGGGAGCGGCGUCCCGGAGCUGUCGGGGAGCUGCAGGGAGCGCUGCUGGCCGUGCAGCCGCCGCAGCAUCCUUCCUUCUCCCUCAUUCCUCUGGGUUUGUCCAUUUUCCUUUCCGGCGGGCCCAGAAGGAAGGGCCUGACUCCGGUCACCUGCUGGAACCUCCCCUGCGCUUCACUGGGAUUGAGGUUAAACCUUCCGAGGGGCAAACCCACGAAAUCCGGGAUGAGGCUCCUUGUGUGCCAAUAAACAAUUUGCCUUUUUUCUCCCUCCCAGCAUUUUUUCCCCUUCUUACUUUAUUUCCUCAGCAUCCAUGACAACUGCCGGCCGGCACGGCGGCACUGAGGGAUUAUGGAGCCCCCAGGGCCACAGGGCAGGGGCAGGGGAUGGGGCGGCUGCUCAGAGCCACGGGAACGGUUUGUGAGUGGGAAAGCAACCGGUCAUGAGAAGCAAAACCAGUCAAGCUCAUCAUGAGACCCAUCUGGCCCAAAUCCUGCCCGGGAAUUUCCCUCAGUGCUCCUUGCGCAGCUUUGUGCAGUGCCAGACCCAGCUCCUGCCCUUUUCUGAUCCUUAGCUUCGUGUGAGGAAGAUGAAGAUGGGGAAAUAGCGUUUAUAGAGAAUAGAACAGCACAGCUCCUGAGGGGACUGCAGUUUGCUCUUGUCUCUGUUUCAGAGCAGGGCCCAUCGCUUCCAGCCUAUAAAUCCUGAUCCCAGAGGAGGCAAUUAUUUCUGCAAGGCAAUCUAAUUCCUGAGUGGGUUUAACUUGCCACAAAGGCAGAAGACCUCAGGAGCACUGGUAAUAGGGCAGAGAGCUCCUGGGCGCUAGACAAGCUUUGGAUUGUUCCUGUGCUGGAUGCUGGUGCAAAUACGUGGGCAGAGACAGCUGGAUCCUGAGGAGCUCCCAGCGUCCCAGCAGGCAUGUGAAUGGGUGUUUUCCACCUUGUCCAGGUGAGAGGAUGUCUUGGCAUCGGGUUUGCCGUAGCCCCUGAUUUUGGCUGGGAGUCCUCUGGAGAAGCGAGUGCCUGCUGCAGUGCUAGCUCUGGCAUGGGCAUGCAAGGUGUGUAUGUACCCAUAACACAGCACAUGCUUCACCAGCAACUAUGGCAUCUGUCAAUCCCCUCCUCCUCAGGUGGUACAUGACCUUUCCCGUGAGACAUCCCCUGUGCAUGAGCUGGCUGUUGCCACCUUAGUCACAGUGGACGUGUCCGAGCUGCAGGGAGCAGCCACUUGGAGCAAACCACCCCCUGUCCUGUCCAGCCUCCUGUGGGCAGCACCUGGUCUCAGGAUGUUCCAGACCAAUCCGUCAUCUGUGUGUUUAGGGGAUGGGUUGGUGCUGGGUAAACUGAGGUUUGGAGGGGUUUGGUUCAUGGUCACAUGGGCAGCCUGGCCACAGCCCAGGCAUUGUGACUGGGAGUUGUGCAUGGAGCUGGGGAGAUGCUUCUUGUGCCAUCUCACCCCACUGGACUCCUCCACACCCAAAAUUGGUUUUGGGGUCCCUGUGCAAAGCACUGGGUUGCUGCUGGUGCCGCUGGCUCUGGGUAAUCUUUGUAUUUGCUGACUUGACUUAAUUGUGGCUUGGUGGAGAGCUCGGCUCUGGGGAAGCUGAAGGUACAGGGAGGCCCAAACCACACACAGCGCUCGGGGAGGGAUUGUGAUCCAAAAAAAAAAAGAAAGUUCAAAGGUGUUUUUGGCUUAAUGCGGUUUAUCUAGAUUGCUUUAUGUUCGUUAAUCUGGAUUAACACAAAUUCUCUUGGAAUGGCUGGCUGGAGAAGGGUUUGCUCAGCUAUUCUGACAAGGACAGGCUUUUCCAAAAGUGAAAAGUCUGAGUUGGGAAAAAAAAAAGCACCAGGUCCUGUCUGGCAUGAGUACAUGGAAGCCCUGUGAGCAGAACAAAGCUGUUUCAUCCCUGCUGCCCACAUCCAAGGGUCCCUGGCACCCGCAGACACUAAUGACUGAUCAACUUCCCCCACUACCAUAGAGGAUUAAUCCCCCCUGUACUUCCUGGGGCGAUGUGAACCCCUUUUCCAGCUGGCAUGCCAGAAUGGAUGGCACAAUUAGUGAACUGCAAGGUAAAUUGGAGGUCAAGCCCAGAUUUGAAGGUGGUGGUGAGUGUGAGCAUGACCCAGGGAGCCAUGUGAUGUGGGCGACAUCCUGGAGAGGCAGGUGAUCUCCCUGUCCUCUCCUUUCCCCAGGGCUGGGAUUAAGAGAGAUUUUACAGCUGAGUGACCAGCCUCAUGGUGAGGUUUGGUUCACAAUGGCUCAGCCCCCAGCCCCUUAUCAAGGAAACUUCUGGGUCUUUUAUGGCUAAGCUGUGCAUCAGCAGGACAGUUUGUGCCUCCAGGGGACCUGUCCCUGGGAGGCACCACCCCUUUGCAUCCAUAGGGACUUCCCACAUUGAGAACAGGCAGAGAAGCACGCAGUGUGAAACGUGGGACUCGUGGAGAUGGAUGGCAAAGCCCAGUGCUUUGGAGAAGGUUAUCUUGUGCUUGAACAUUCACCUGCAGUCUGGGUGCACUUUCUUGCUCUUCAGAAGUCUUCUCUUGCAGCAUUGGGCAGGUCUUUGCAUGACAUGCCAUCCCUUUCUACCAGCUGCCCGUGAUCAGGAUUGCUUGGGUGUUACAGGGCUGGAGACCUCUCAGGGACCAAUGGAUCAGCUCCGUGAAGGGCCCAGCUCCAGCUCUCAGCAGCCAGGAGCAGCAGCAGGCAAGCAAAGCAUUCCUGCAGAGCUGGGAUGGGAGCUGUAAGCAGGACCUGGGCCCUGCCCCAAACCCAGGGGACUCCCUCCUCCCCCUGCCCGUGCAAACACCAGAUUAACAAUUUAUUUGACGUGUUGCGGCUGGUUAGUUCUUCGCCCGCUGCCCUGAUCAGAGGGAAUAAGUGUUGCAGUGUGCAAUAAUGUUCAUUUCAGGUGAGGGUAAAUAUAGAAAGGAAAACCUGCUGAGAGCAAGCCAUUUAUUCCUGCGUUUGGAAGCCUCUGCUCAUAAACAGUCAGUCAUGCCCAUUUGGAAAAUCCCAGUGUGGUUUUCUUGGCCAUCCUAGAAGAACAUUUACUUUCCUGUAGGUUAAGAAGUCCGUUUUAAAUAAAAAAAAUAAUGUCAUCUCACUUCCAGCUGCCCUCGGGCGUUUAGGGCUUGUUGACACACUAAGGCUGCUCUGUUCUCAUGCAAAAGUGGUCUGAUGCUGGAUUAGGAAGGAGAUCCUGCAGGGCUUCCCCAGCUGGUUGGGCUGUCAGACCCUUGUUCUUUGGGUUCUCCUUGUUCUCCUUGGGAUUUUAUCAGAUGUUUUAGCUACAUGUAGUGUUAAAAGCCCCCAGCUUCUAGGGGUGUGGGUGGGGUGUGGAUUCAGGAAAGUGCUGGGGGUGCCCUGAGAGCCCCAUGGCUCAAGAGCCGUGUGCGGGGAGGCUGGGGCAGAGGGAUGAGCUCAUGCUGGACCAGAAAACCUCUGAGGGUUUUUGGGAGAGCAUGCCAAAGGCAACAAGACAUGUGGGCUGAGGAGCAUCCCUCAAACAAGCCAGCAGCCGUGGUCAGCCCAUGGUGACCUGCUGCAGCACAGGAAAGACACCCCAAAGCAGUGUUGUAGCAGGAGGCUGAGGAGGGUGGGGAGCCCCUGGCACAGCCAAGCUCUGCCUCUCUCCUCUAUCCCAAAAGUGGCACCGAGGAGCCGUGUGGGAGAGCAAAGCGGCCGGUUUGAGUUGGAUGGCUGCCCCUGUCGGCUCCGUGGCUGGCACCAGCCAGCUCCCUCCUCUGGAGCGUUCUGCAGUCAAUGAGGGUCUCUCCGUGUUUUCUGACAGGCUUUGGAUUUGGCUCAGGUUUUGCCUUGGUUUCUGAAGGCAAGAGGCAGUUAAGUCUUAAGAAGAAUGAAUUAAUUAGCAAAUGCCUUUGGUCAGGUCAGUGCCCUGAGCACUGUGCCCAUACCUCUGUGCCAGGUACACGCUCGGAGAGGCUUCUUUUACCCUCCCAUAUUUCCAGAGCUGUACAUGCAUCAUCCAAGAAAAAAGAAAGGGGAAAAAGCCUCCCUCGGAACACAGUAUUGACUCUAAUGAUGGCAUUUGUGUAAGCAACAAAAUAUUGACGCAGUUGGCUGGGGUCUGGCCGGGGCUUCUGGAAAUAAACUGCUGCCUUGUUAAACUGUAGAUGGAAAUGCAAGUGGGAAAAUGACUGACAUCUUACACUAGGCGGGCAAAUAAAACCGCUGCUUUACUACAGCGUGAAAAAACUCAGGAAUUAAUAGGUCUCCUUCUGCUCCAGGGUGUUGGAUUUAUCCCCGAGUAAGAUCCAUAAACUAUUUUAAGGAGAGAAGUGCUACUUUUAAACAUGUGUGUCUGGGUCCUGGAGUUCCUGUGGUGUCACAGUUAACCCCUGCCUUGUCGCGGCUGUGGGCAGCAGAGCAGCCCCUCACAGCCCCCCACAGCCCCGUUCCUGGUAGGCGCCAUUCUUGCCAACACACAAACACAUCAACACCUGAUAAAUGAUGAGGUUACUUUCAAAGGGUGUUUUCCUAUGAUGUGUUCCCACAGCUUUUGUCAGAAAUGUGUUUCAGGCCUCGACCUGGACUCAGAGCUUGAUUUUACCAGUGUGGGACAUAAAAUGUAUUUUAAAAAACCCACCUGCUCCAAAGCUGUGUCUGACUCAAAGCAGAUGCACAGUGUUGCUGAGUCCAUCUGGAGUGUGACCCAGCACACCCCAAAAGACUCCUUUUUACUUCAGCAGCUGAAGACCUUUUACCAUCUUCUAUGGGAAAUGUGAUUAACAGAGCUGUAGAGAGUGAUACAUCACUUUCCUUUCUACCCAAAGCCCCUUCCUUCUCCACCCACAUCCUGACGAUCUCCCAGCUGACGUACAUGUGCUCGUGGAAAAGUAGGAUGAGAUAAAAGCUGUCUCCCAGUGGCACAGGGUCCGACUCACCAGCAGCAGCGACACCAGUGUAAUUAUACACGCUCCAGUCCGAUCUCCCAGUAAUUAUUCUGGAAUAAAAGCCUGCCUAUUUCUGUAAGACCUUAUGUCACUUGGAAAGCUGUUAUAAAUUCAGCUGGAAAAAGGGACCCUUAUUCUGGGAUAAGUGUGGUUAGUGGUUAACUGGGAAUGGGGCUAUUCCUGGCGUUGCCAUCGACCUUCCUGGUGACGCUGGGGUAAGUCACUACACCUCAGCGUGUGUCACCUUCUCCUGCUGCAAACUGGGAAUUACAAACAAGGGCUUUCGCAGGCAGCAUUUUGGGAAGCUCCAUGACACUGGAAAAAAGGUGUCACAGGGUGCCAGGCAGUCAUUUAGUGGGACCUGGUGCUUUUUUACCCACCUUGGAGGCAUCUGGAUCAAACUGUAGGCUGGGGAAAUGAGGGACGAGUGCUGGGGACCGGCUGAGCUGCGUGAGCCUGGACUGUUGGCGUGUUACUGGGAAUACUGUGUUUUCCUCUCGGUUUUUAAAAAUAGUCUAUUCUGUUCCAAGUUGUAGACCACAGCCCUCGCUGGGGCAUUGAAAUGUCUGGGCUGCUGUUUUCUUGAGCCAGCACCUUCCAGUGUUCAGGGUCUGGAUGCAGCACCAGCAUCCAUCCCCCAGCUGCUGGGUCCAGCAAAGAUGGGGGGUCCUGCUCUGGACUGGCAGCAUUUACCCUCUUGUUCUCGUGGACUGGAGGGAAAGGGAAAUCUCCUGGUUCACUCUUCUGCCUGCAGUAUCCCCGCCUGAUUCAAUAACUGCUUCUGCAAGCCCUAAGGGCCUCGGGGACUUCUGCUUCUCGGCAGCUUCUUGUGCAGCCUCAGAAACAGCUUUUGGCUCAGCAUCAUGCAAGCACACACAGCCGAAGCAGCUCCUUCCUAGCACAUGGCAUUAAAUCCCUGCUAGAGAUGGGGAGAAUCAUCUCGGAGGGUUUUAUCGUUUGCACAGACAGUGCAGCCUGGCUCACGGCCAGAAUCCAUCUGUUUGCCAAAGCGGGUGCUGCCCACGGAGCAGCAGGACCAAGGUGCUGAUGCCAAGAGGUGAAGGCAGAGCCUGCCCUGGCGCGUUCCCACGGCCUCCGUCCCUGCGCAAGCACCGGAGUGGGGCUCACUGCCGCUCGGAAUUGGGCUGGAGCCAAGGAGGCAGAGGGGAAAAAGCCUUUUACAGCCCAUUAGUGCUCCCCAGAGCCGUUCAGCCCCUCUCGUCGUAAAAGUGGUGGAAGCCACAGAAACAUUACGGCUGGUCUGCUGAAGAUGCUGGUCUGCAGAAGAUGCCAGCCCACCUCCCGGCUCCAUGUCCCUUCCCAGGGGCUUUGCCAAAGCCGCUGGCCCUCACGGCAGCUCCGGCUGCUGGAAUUCCCUCUGGGAACAAGCUGGCAAGGGUUGGUUCCCAGUCCAUCGAGAGCACCCCCCAGGCAAAAUGUACAUGGGAGGGUUCCAAGUGCAAAUGUGUGUGUGCUAAUGGGAACUGAAUUGCCUCUUGCCCCGAAGCCUUGCAGCUUGAGGAAAACAAGGCAGGGGCUAGGAAUGACCUCAUAUCGCCUCCCAGGGAAUGUUUUGCCAGAUGAAGGGGGGAGAGGCAGCAUCAAGACAGCACAAUGUAUGUAUCUCUCUCCCUGUGUAAACAUCUCUGUAGCUGCAGAAACCUCUUAAAACCCCGAAUGAGAGGAGAACAGCUGCUUUGAUCUGUGGAUGUGGUUGUUGUUUUCUGAGUGCGGAUCCGUUCUUUUUUUAAUUUUGCUUCAAAUUAAAAAAAUGCCUGUUGUGAUCUUUUGCUUUUAUUUCUUGGCGAGGGACCGGAGCAUGGUGCAGUAAAUUUUCAUGACUCCCCAUGUAACCGUUUCAGCAUGGCUGACAAUUCCUCGCCGGCUCUUCAGCGCCACAGCACAAUGGGCCGAAUCUUCUGGCCCUACAUGAAGCCAAAGCAAAUGGAUUUUGCCCAGAAGUGCACAACGGGGAGUGGAGGCGGCAGGGAGGAGAAUCCUGCCACCUCCUUCCCUGCCACACACACACACACACACAAGGCUCGGGCUGGCAGGGUUGUCCCAAUGCCUGUGAAGAGUUUUGGAGACAGCUCCCGGGUGCGGAUCCAUGCCAGCCCUACGCGGCAGCAACAGGAGCUGGUGAGGAACCACUGGGCCAAAGCUCGGGCUGCCCUGCAGGUGAUUUCAGUGUGACUCAUGGCACUCCCUCCAGACUCCCUGUGUGAUGUUGGGAAUCCCCAUCUGCCCGACUUUCCCCUUGGGAGACAGCCCUGUGCUUGGAGGGGCACCAUGGCAUGCACAGCCCUGGCACCUCCACUGCCCCUUCGACCGCCCGACCAGGCAGCACCCUUUGGGAAGAAAACAAGAUUAUAUCGCUUUUUUGGGAAUUCCUGGACAUCAGCAGUUCACUGCAACCCCACUGCUUUGCUGUGGUACUUUGCAACCCCGUUGGAGGGCUGAGACAUGGGGGUCAGCCCCUUGGCUCCUGCGGUGUGAGCGGUGCCUUCAAAGGCAAGACCCAGCCCCAGCGGUGCAAGGCGCUGGUUUAACUGGGAGCACUUGGCCAGAGACCUGUCCCUGCUGAGGCGGUCUGGGCACGAGUGAGGAGUUUGUUCAUUCCCCCGUGCUGUCACGUGGCUGCUCGGUGUUUUGGCGUUUUAAUUACACACGGUCCUGUGUAUUUAAGGCUGGUUUAUGGGUGUUUAUACUAAUGCGUAAACCUGCAAUUUA
Corvus hawaiiensis (hawaiian crow) is the source of this 7842-nucleotide long non-coding RNA. RefSeq lists it as uncharacterized. The record is from RefSeq and is a predicted model, not a curated record. NCBI's taxonomy places the organism in Eukaryota, Metazoa, Chordata, Aves, Passeriformes, Corvidae. The transcript is spliced from 3 exons.